Molecule: ribosomal RNA, 423 nt
Filed under: uncultured bacterium
Lineage: Bacteria
Description: bacterial SSU rRNA
Rfam family: Bacterial small subunit ribosomal RNA
Source: RNAcentral
GUGAGGAAUAUUGGUCAAUGGGCGUGAGCCUGAACCAGCCAAGUCGCGUGAGGGAAGACUGCCCUAUGGGUUGUAAACCUCUUUUGUCGGGGAGCAAAGCUGCCACGUGUGGUGGUUUAAGAGUACCCGAAGAAAAAGCAUCGGCUAACUCCGUGCCAGCAGCCGCGGUAAUACGGAGGAUGCGAGCGUUAUCCGGAUUUAUUGGGUUUAAAGGGUGCGUAGGCGGACGAUCAAGUCAGCGGUCAAAUGUCGGGGCUUAACCCCGGCCUGCCGUUGAAACUGGUUGUCUUGAGUGAGCGAGAGGUAUGCGGAAUGCGUGGUGUAGCGGUGAAAUGCAUAGAUAUCGCGCAGAACCCCGAUUGCGAAGGCAGCGUACCGGCGCCGGACUGACGCUGAGGCACGAAAGCGUGGGUAUCGAACAGG